This 425-nucleotide ribosomal RNA is filed under the name uncultured bacterium. RNAcentral's name for it is "bacterial SSU rRNA". It matches the Rfam family "Bacterial small subunit ribosomal RNA", at positions 356 to 773 of the family's 1533-position model. The record is from RNAcentral.
GGGGAAUUGUUCGCAAUGGGCGCAAGCCUGACGACGCAACGCCGCGUGGAGGAUGAAGAUCUUCGGGUCGUAAACUCCUUUCGAUCGAGACGAACGGCUUCCGUGCUAAUCAACGGAAGAGUGACGGUACCGAGAGAAGAAGCCCCGGCUAACUCUGUGCCAGCAGCCGCGGUAAUACAGAGGUGGCAAGCGUUGUUCGGAAUUACUGGGCGUAAAGCGCGUGUAGGCGGCUCUUCAAGUCAGGCGUGAAAGCCCCGGGCUCAACUCGGGAACUGCGCUUGAUACUGUCGAGCUAGAGUGUGGAAGGGGCGAUUGGAAUUCCGUGUGUAGCGGUGAAAUGCGUAGAUAUACGGAGGAACACCAGAGGCGAAGGCGGAUCGCUGGGCCAACACUGACGCUGAGACGCGAAAGCUAGGGUAGCAAAC